RNAcentral lists this ribosomal RNA (400 nucleotides) under uncultured bacterium. RNAcentral describes it as "bacterial SSU rRNA". It matches the Rfam family "Bacterial small subunit ribosomal RNA", at positions 29 to 418 of the family's 1533-position model. The record is from RNAcentral.
AACGAACGCUGGCGGCGCGCCUAAUACAUGCAAGUCGAGCGAGAAGACGUAGCAAUACGUUUGUAAAGCGGCGAACGGGUGAGGAAUACAUGGGUAACCUACCCUCGAGUGGGGAAUAACUAGCCGAAAGGUUAGCUAAUACCGCGUACGCUCCUUGGACUUCGGUUCAGGGAGGAAAGCGAUACCGUGGGUAUCGCGCUCUUGGAUGGGCUCAUGUCCUAUCAGCUUGUUGGUAAGGUAACGGCUCGCCAAGGCUUCGACGGGUAGCUGGUCUGAGAGGACGAUCAGCCACACUGGCACUGCGACACGGGCCAGACUCCUACGGGAGGCAGCAGUAAGGAAUAUUGCGCAAUGGGCGAAAGCCUGACGCAGCGACGCCGCGGUGGGGGAUGAAGGUCUU